This 253-nucleotide ribosomal RNA is filed under the name uncultured bacterium. RNAcentral describes it as "partial 16S ribosomal RNA". It matches the Rfam family "Bacterial small subunit ribosomal RNA", at positions 524 to 776 of the family's 1533-position model. The record is from RNAcentral.
UACGUAGGGUCCGAGCGUUGUCCGGAAUUACUGGGCGUAAAGAGCUCGUAGGCGGUUUGUCGCGUCUGCCGUGAAAGUCCGGGGCUCAACUCCGGAUCUGCGGUGGGUACGGGCAGACUAGAGUGAUGUAGGGGAGACUGGAAUUCCUGGUGUAGCGGUGAAAUGCGCAGAUAUCAGGAGGAACACCGAUGGCGAAGGCAGAUCUCUGGGCCGUAACUGACGCUGAGGAGCGAAAGCGUGGGGAGCGAACAGG